Felis catus (domestic cat) is the source of this 1521-nucleotide long non-coding RNA. RefSeq lists it as uncharacterized. The transcript has 2 exons. NCBI's taxonomy places the organism in Eukaryota, Metazoa, Chordata, Mammalia, Carnivora, Felidae. The record is from RefSeq and is a predicted model, not a curated record.
UCUCUCUCUCUCUCAAAAUAAAUAAACAUUAAAAAAUUUUUUUAAAUAAAUAAGUUUAAAACAAUAGAAAUGCAGCAUCAGUCCCCACCCCACGUUGUUUAUAUGCACAUUAAAGGUUGAGAAGCAUGUGUGUGAGUGCUCGUGCAUAUUCCAAGUAGAAUUCAGAGGUAUGUUUGCAAACCAGACUGAAAGUGAUGCUUUUAAAGGAACUGGAUCGUAGAUUCCUACAAGGAUUCCUACAUGGACUGUCCUGCUGGAGCCAUUAGUCUUCUAAGUGGAUAGACCAGGCAGGGAGCUAUCUACUGCACCAAGAAGAGGAGGAAUGAUGGAGUUAGACCACCCCACGGGAAGAAGCUCCAGAGACCCCAAGGUGCCUGGGGAUUCAUUGUCACUAUGCGACAAGAAGUCAACAAGGUUUGGAACUUAUUUGAACAAUUUUCAUUUUGAAACAUGAAAAGGUGGAAGAUUCCAGCCUCUUUCUGUUAACAGUAGACAAAGAUAAGCAUCUCUCCACAAAGGUACAAGAUUAUGUUACCCUUCUGGAAUCCUGGUAGCCAAUUCAAGUUGUUUUUGAAGCACAAUGCUACCCAUGAGGCCUAAACCAAAAGAACCAGACAUUCCAGAUUGACUCAAAUAAUUCCAUUUUUUAAAUGUAAUGUUCUGGCACCUCUGUGAUUUCCAUAUUUGUUCCAGUUUUCAUCACACCCUGUGAUACUGAAUGGCAACAUCAGGAACAGAAUGCUUCUUUGAAUAACUCAGCUGCCUUCCUACCUUGCGGCUAUCAGGUGUAGGACACAGUUUGUCAGGAAUUAAAAGAAAACACAAUUUCCAUUCAAGAAUUUAAUUCUCUUUCAACACACAUAAAAACGGGAAAAUUUAUUUUGUGGUUUAUUGUGCGGAGGACAAGUCUUCUAAAAAAAACCGAAAGAAGGCAAUUCUCAAUGGAAACUAUGGAUCUUUGAUGAACUUUUUAUUUCUGCAUGAUUUGAGAUUUAUGAAGAGCCAAACUAAAACCUAUUUUGUUUUUCACUGUGUCUUAUAAGUAGGGGAAAAAAUGACAUUAGUAACUAUUGAGCCAUGUGACUCUCAAAUACAUAGUAACUUGGCUUUGUAUUCGCUCACAAUGCUUCUAGAAACCCCACGAUAGAAAGGUUAAAUCCUUUUCAUUUUCUUUGGAAGUAUUUGGAAACAUUCACAGCUCAGAGCUGGGAUGUCCAUCUUAUAGUUUAUGUAGCAUAACUGUGUUGUCUCUGAUUCUCCAGAACAAGAGUUUACAACCGAACUGGAAAACAACUGUCCUGCGCUACGUCUAGUCUAGCUAUGUAGGCCAGACUUUAUCAGUUUUUGGUACUGCUUGUGAUAAUUACCUCUUGCCAAACAUGCUUGUCUGAAUUAUUCCAUAAAACACGCUUGAUAAAUGGACUUAUCAAGACCAUUAGGUCUUGAAGAACUUAAAUUAGUCCCAGAUGACUCUCUUUUCAGUUAAAAGAUAAAUUUAAAUAAAAUGUGAAUGUAAACAUA